RNAcentral lists this ribosomal RNA (253 nucleotides) under uncultured bacterium. Its description in RNAcentral is "partial 16S ribosomal RNA". It matches the Rfam family "Bacterial small subunit ribosomal RNA", at positions 524 to 776 of the family's 1533-position model. The record is from RNAcentral.
UACGGAGGGUGCGAGCGUUGUCCGGAAUUACUGGGCUUAAAGAGUUCGUAGGCGGUUGUCCGCGUCGUUUGUGAAAACCAGCAGCUCAACUGCUGGCUUGCAGGCGAUACGGGCAGACUUGAGUACUGUAGGGGAUACUGGAAUUCCUGGUGUAGUGGUGAAAUGCGCAGAUAUCAGGAGGAACACCGGUGGCGAAGGCGGGUCUCUGGGCAGUAACUGACGCUGAGGAACGAAAGCGUGGGUAGCGAACAGG